CCUACGGGAGGCAGCAGUGAGGAAUAUUGGUCAAUGGCCGGAAGGCUGAACCAGCCAUGCCGCGUGAAGGUCAGUGCCCUAUGGGCGUUAAACUUCUUUUGUGCGGGAGCAAUAAUGGUCACGUGUGGCCAGACGAGAGUACCGUACGAAUAAGCAUCGGCUAACUCCGUGCCAGCAGCCGCGGUAAUACGGGGGAUGCAAGCGUUAUCGGGAUUUAUUGGGUUUAAAGGGUGCGUAGGCUGUGAGGUAAGUCAGCGGUGAAAUGCCCCCGCUCAACGGGGUGAAGUGCCAUUGAUACUGCCUGGCUGGAAUGCGGAUGCCGGGGGAGGAAUGUGUGGUGUAGCGGUGAAAUGCAUAGAUAUCACACAGAACACCGAUUGCGAAGGCAUCUCACGAAUCCGCGAUUGACGCUGAUGCACGAAAGCGUGGGUAUCAAACAGGAUUAGAUACCCGAGUAGUC
This 460-nucleotide ribosomal RNA is filed under the name uncultured bacterium. RNAcentral's name for it is "partial 16S ribosomal RNA". It matches the Rfam family "Bacterial small subunit ribosomal RNA", at positions 338 to 795 of the family's 1533-position model. The record is from RNAcentral.